Molecule: unclassified non-coding RNA, 1469 nt
Filed under: Zea mays
Lineage: Eukaryota; Viridiplantae; Streptophyta; Magnoliopsida; Poales; Poaceae
Description: misc RNA Zm00001eb147800
Source: RNAcentral
UUUAGGGGUAACUGUUGCGGAUAGCCUCAGGCAGCGUUCCUCGCUGCUGUUAAGUCAGGCUCCACUCCAGUGUCCCGUUUUGGGCCUCAGGCCUCCUUUUGUGCAAUCCAGACGUCGUGGUCCAAACGCGGAUCGGCGGUGCCGACGGCCGGGAACCCCCCUCGCGAUUAACGCCCGAGCGAGAUCGCUAUCCGUGGACCGUGGUUGUCGCCGUCCUCGUCGGUUCGUCCCCAUCGCACACCCUACUCCCCCGGUCGUCAGCCCUCAGCACUCAUCCGGUCAUCCCCAAACCCCAGAAACCUCCUUGGAACCAACUGAAGAUGCCCGACCAGACGUCGGCUGCGGCCGCGGGCGGCGCGGCGUUCGACCGUUGCCUGCUGGCGCUGUACCUCAUCAGCCCGCUCACUGUUCUGGCGCUCCGCUUCAUCUCCGCGCCGUACGGCAAGCUAUCCCGGCCGGGCUGGGGCCCCGUCCUACCGGCCCCACUCGCGUGGUUCCUCAUGGAGAGCCCCACCCUCUGGCUCCCACCGCUCGUCCUCCUCCGCUGGCCGCCGCCGCCGCUCUCCGGCCCACUCGCCGCACUCCCCGCCGCGCUCUACGCGUUCCACUACGUCCACCGCACGCUGGUCCACCCGCUCCGCCUCGCCCGCCUGCGCCGCGCCCCGGCCCCCGUGCCGCUCCUCAUCGCCGCCUGCGCCUUGGGAUUCAAUAUCCUCAACGCCUACCUACAGGCCCGCUCCUUCGCCCUCCACGCCGGCCGCCAGGCGUCCCCCUUCCGCUGCCUCGCUGGGCUGGCCCUCUUCGCGUGGGGAAUGCGGACGAACAUCGCGGCGGACAAGGAGCUGCUGCGGCUCAAGGAGGCCGGAGGCGGGUACAAGAUCCCGAGGGGCGGGUGGUUCGACCUCGUCACCAGCCCCAAUUACUUCGGCGAGACGGUGGAGUGGCUGGGCUUCGCCGUGGUGGCGUGGACGCCCGCGGCCUGGGCGUUCUUCCUCUACACCUGCGCCAACCUCGGGCCGAGGGCCAGGGACCACCGCCGCUGGUACGUGCAGAAGUUCCGCGGCGAGUACCCGGCGUCGCGCAAGGCGUUCAUCCCCUACAUCUACUAGGUGAUGGCCGUGGUUUCGGUUCGUUCUUCUUGGCCGCCUUAUCUUCCUUCGCGGCGGAGCAGAAGCAGGAGAGCAGGCUGAGUUUGCCCAUGUUUCGACUCGACGAGAAGGCGAGUAGACGACAGAGAACCUGCGAUGCGAUUAGCUGCGCGAGACUGCAACCUGUUGAAUCUAAUGUUCUUACUAUUGCUGCUGUCGAUGAUUUUAUAGAUGUACAGGCAGAGUUGAAUAUAAAGCCGGCUGAGGCAUAACCUGGUUACUCUCGUGUUUGUACUAUGUUCCGACUCGAACAGGAUUGACUCAAGUCUAAUGUAUUGGGCAUGGACAGAAUCUCUAAUUGGAGGGUUAUUUGACUUGGCG